Molecule: ribosomal RNA, 377 nt
Filed under: uncultured bacterium
Lineage: Bacteria
Description: bacterial SSU rRNA
Rfam family: Bacterial small subunit ribosomal RNA
Source: RNAcentral
UAAUACGGAGGGUGCAAGCGUUGCUCGGAAUCAUUGGGCGUAAAGCGUACGCAGGCUGUUCGUUAAGUCGGGUGUGAAAGCCCGGGGCUCAACCCCGGAACUGCGCCCGAAACUGGCGAGCUUGAGUGCGGGAGAGGGAAGCGGAAUUCCUGGUGUAGAGGUGAAAUUCGUAGAUAUCAGGAGGAACACCGGUGGCGAAAGCGGCUUCCUGGCCCGACACUGACGCUCAUGUACGAAAGCGUGGGGAGCAAACAGGAUUAGAUACCCUGGUAGUCCACGCCGUAAACGAUGAGUGCUAGCUGCUGGGAAUGUUUACCGUCUCAGUGGCGAAGCUAACGCAUUAAGCACUCCGCCUGGGAAGUACGGCCGCAAGGCUA